This 1276-nucleotide long non-coding RNA is filed under the name Volvox carteri. RNAcentral's name for it is "long non-coding RNA (VCAR_LNC001413)". Lineage: Eukaryota; Viridiplantae; Chlorophyta; Chlorophyceae; Chlamydomonadales; Volvocaceae. The record is from RNAcentral.
GUUCUGCGAAGAUUGUGCGGGGUCAGCCAUGGCGGGAAGGAUGGUCACGCCAUGGGGGAUACAGGGGCCGACUUGGCGAAUGGAUAGCCUUUGCCCGGCGUCACAUUUGCCAUGCGCCCUGCAGACUGCACUUAGACAAAUCAUCUUUUUGUUCCAUGUAUACCUGGGAUAUGGGGGCGCUUUUGGUGCGCAAAAUGUGUUGAUAAUGGUGCGCAUUGUGUGGUGGACGUCUUCUAUUCUUUUGCCCCGAGACAACAAGGGACUGAGUGUCUGGUGGAGCGGAGAUGCGGCACCAAUGCCAGUGGUGGCGCGCAUAUGUGGUUGCUGAUGUCUGGUUGGUCGUCGGCUUGGAGGGAGUGGACCCUAUACGUCGGUUUAGGGACGCCGAGAAGAAACCGAGACGAAUUUGCACAAGGUCACGCAACAGUGGCCAGAGGCUGGCGGAUAUGGGUCGAUCGUCGCAGCGCGGUCGUUAACAGUGCUCACAGCGGCAAUUUGCAUAUCCCAACAGGCUGCAGCCAAGACUAGGUUGCGCUUGUACGCACUACCAAGUUGGCGGCUUCCGUGUGCGGCUGAGGUACAGGCGGCUGAUGCCUGGUGCCUUUUUGUUUUCCUGGAGCAAGUGGAGGCCCUUUCGUUCCUGCGGACGCCAAGGUAGGAACAAAAUCUUUUUUCGUAUGUCGAGAGCUGAGGUUCGUGGCAAAUCUCCUGGCAUAAAUUUGGAGCACUUGCGGUUCCCCGCGGCAAGCUUCACUAUUUUGUCGGGCGAUGCCAUUGGUCUGGCAACUUUCGUUCGGUGUCAGCGUUAUGCGCUCGAUAUCUGGUGGCGGAUCAAAGUUUACUGUUGCUUGGCUUGGAGUGUGUACGUAUGUUUUAUUAAUCAUUGGCGAGGCGAGCAUCAGUGUUCGUUGUAUAUGUUGACCUCCUUGUAUCUCACCGAACGCUGUGCAGUGGUGGCUCCUUACGGAAGCUGUCGCAGCAUCCUGAUCUGGUGUGAGAUGGAGUGCAAAGAAGGUUUGCGCUGUCCGCUCGCUGCUUGUCUUGUCCAGAAGAAAUUAGGCAGUGGUCCCAGUUUUCUUGGUGCCGAACCAUAGUUUCUCGAGCAGGAAAGUGUGUGGGAUUGGUCCGCAAGCUCUUCUGAGUUUUCAGUGCUGUGGCUGUAGAGCUCCCUCGACCUCAGUUGUAAGACUAUAUUCGCCGCAAUCUCACUGCGUGGGGCACACGUUUGCAAGAGAGGUAACAUCAUAAAUUGCUUAACAUUACAUCUGAACUACAC